GAUGAAGAACGUAGCGAAAUGGGAUAAGUAGUGUGAAUUGCAGAAUUCAGUGAAUCAUCGAAUCUUUGAACGCACAUUGCGCCCCUUGGUAUUCCAUGGGGCAUGCCUGUUCGAGCGUCAUUUGUACCUUCAAGCUUUGCUUGGUGUUGGGUGUUUGUCCCGAGGGACUCGCCUUAAAGUAAUUGGCAGCCAGUGUUUGGUUUUGAAGCGCAGCACAAGUCGCGAUUCAAGGCUACACGCCCGCUUCCACAAGCCUUUUUUCACUUUUGACCUCGGAUCAGGUAGGGAUACCCGCUGAACUUAAGCAUAUCAAUAAGCGGAGGA
This 324-nucleotide unclassified non-coding RNA is filed under the name soil metagenome. Its description in RNAcentral is "partial contains 5.8S ribosomal RNA, internal transcribed spacer 2, and large subunit ribosomal RNA". The stretch from base 1 to 120 matches the Rfam family "5.8S ribosomal RNA", at positions 35 to 154 of the family's 154-position model. The record is from RNAcentral.